Molecule: long non-coding RNA, 281 nt
Filed under: Elaeis guineensis (African oil palm)
Lineage: Eukaryota; Viridiplantae; Streptophyta; Magnoliopsida; Arecales; Arecaceae
Description: long non-coding RNA (EGUI_LNC024033)
Source: RNAcentral
CCACUUCUAAAACCGACUAAUGGUCGGACCUGACAACGGAAAAGCCUUUGAGUCCGACAGGAAGUCGUCGGCCGAAACUCACGACCGACCACCCCCUGUGGCAACCUCACUCAUCGAAAAUACUCAAGGAAUCUAGACUGAGGAAAGCGACAAGAGGUGAUUUUUGCUCAACAGCUGCUCUCCAACAGAGCCCUCUUUCCAAAAAAGACAAAAUGAGGAAUGAGUACCUGACUGACAGAGUCCCUUUAUAUAGGAAUGCCUGACAGCCCAGAUGAAAGCGG